UACGUAGGGUGCGAGCGUUGUCCGGAAUUAUUGGGCGUAAAGAGCUCGUAGGCGGUCUGACAAGUCGGAUGUGAAAGCCCGGGGCUUAACUCCGGGUCUGCAUUCGAUACGGGCAGACUAGAGUGUGGUAGGGGAGAUCGGAAUUCCUGGUGUAGCGGUGAAAUGCGCAGAUAUCAGGAGGAACACCGGUGGCGAAGGCGGUUCUCUGGGCCAAUACUGACGCUGAGGAGCGAAAGCGUGGGGAGCGAACAGG
This 253-nucleotide ribosomal RNA is filed under the name uncultured bacterium. Its description in RNAcentral is "partial 16S ribosomal RNA". It matches the Rfam family "Bacterial small subunit ribosomal RNA", at positions 524 to 776 of the family's 1533-position model. The record is from RNAcentral.